RNAcentral lists this long non-coding RNA (1373 nucleotides) under Homo sapiens (human). RNAcentral describes it as "cancer susceptibility 15". The record is from RNAcentral. Lineage: Eukaryota; Metazoa; Chordata; Mammalia; Primates; Hominidae.
AGACUUCAGAAUGUACUAUUCAAAAAAGGAUGCAAUGGAGAACAUUUACAGAGGACUGUGGGUAAAGCAAAGUCUUCAAGGGAAGAUAACAAAGGAUGAAACAAUGGUGUUGUGUGACUUCCUAGUGUGAAUCAUGGCAAUACAGUGAAAGACAGUGAUUUACUGCUUUUGAGGGCGUGCAUGUAUAUGAUUAACGGAUGGAAGUGCAGGACUCCAAGAUUUACUUCCUUCCCUUUCCAGCAGAAUUACCUGAGACGAGUAAAAUCUACUGGUGGAGUCACUCCAUUAUUCUUAUCUGUGGAGAUCUAGAUCUUGAUUUGAAAGUUUCUGAGAAAAUCUUCAGCUCAGACUUGAGGGUCAACUUUACCAGCUGAAGGAUCUGCAUUUACUGCUCAACCACAUCUAAUUUGAUGUCCUCUGCAGAUUUAAAAUGUGUGCCUUCUUUUCCGUCACCAAGUCAUCCCUGGGUUACUACUGAACAUCCUUCUCAAUUCCCCCCGACCCAUGGAUGGCUGUUCUCCAUUGUCUGUUUCACCAGAUGUCCUCAAAACAAACAGACAGAAGAAGGAAGUGGCUAAUGACCCAAUCUAAUCUAGGUGGGAGAGAAAGUAAAGAGAGUCUCUUGGAAAACUGAAGAGAGUCACAGCAAGCCCACAGAGUUACACAGGAAUCAGGAGGAAUAAAAAUGUAAAGGAGCUGUGGAGUCCAAGUGUGACUGCCAAGAGGAAUCCAGCAAAGCCAAAAAGCCCAAGCAUGUAGCCCUGCCCGAAGCACGCCACACGCAUGGAAAACCCAGAGGAAAUGAGUGAGGAUCAAUGGGAAGAAGAGAGCCAGCCAGCUCUGUAUUCUAAGAACCUGGAAACAAUCUUUAUUCACACUGUUAAGACGAUUGAGAAAAAUGGAUGGAUAGAGUUUAUUUGCUAAGAGAAAAACUGAGUGACUACCUAGCUACCUCACUCCUUUUUGCUCUAUUGGAAGUUGAAGAUUUGUCCAGGAGCAGAUAGCUGAAGAGAGAGAGAGAGAAGAGAGAACGGCUUACAGCUCAGGUCCUCUCUCCAUGCUUAGGAACCACUACAAAUGCUACUGCCUUGAGUCUCAUUUUGUUUCCCUCUGGAAACCACAUGUGUACCUUGUUUGCAACAGUAUGGUUCUGGAGACCAGAAGGCCAAAAUCAAAAGUAUGGGCAGGCUUGAUUUCUUUAGAAGACUCCAGCGGAGAACUGUGUCUCCUUGCUUCUGAUUCUACAUCUCCAUCCAUGGGCCACUGUUUCAGCAACCUCAGCCAGUGCAACACAACCUCAGCCAAGAAGAGUAUGCAGAGAAAGGAGUCCCCUACCUGCCACAAAACUGUUGUCUGAAAACUGUCUCAUAUUG